UUUCGCAAUGCCCGAAAGGGUGACGAAGCGACGCCGCGUGUGGGAAGAAGGCCUUCGGGUUGUAAACCACUGUCGGGAGUUAAGAAAUGUAAGGGUGUUAAUAGUAUCCUUACUUGACUAAGGCUCCGGAGGAAGCCACGGCUAACUCUGUGCCAGCAGCCGCGGUAAUACAGAGGCGGCAAGCGUUGUUCGGAAUUAUUGGGCGUAAAGAGCACGUAGGCGGCUAUAUAAGUCGGUUGUGAAAGCCUUCCGCUCAACGGGAGAACAGCAUCCGAUACUGUGUGGCUUGAGUGUGGGAGGGGAGAGCGGAACUUCUGGUGGAGCGGUGAAAUGCGUAGAUAUCAGAAGGAACGCCGGCGGCGAAAGCGGCUCUCUGGCCCAUAACUGACGCUGAGUGUGCGAAAGCUAGGGGAGCAAACGGGAUUAGAUACCCCGGUAGUCCUAGCCGUAAACGAUGGGCACUAAGUAGAGGGGUUUU
This 478-nucleotide ribosomal RNA is filed under the name uncultured Planctomycetales bacterium. Its description in RNAcentral is "bacterial SSU rRNA". It matches the Rfam family "Bacterial small subunit ribosomal RNA", at positions 364 to 832 of the family's 1533-position model. Lineage: Bacteria; Pseudomonadati; Planctomycetota; Planctomycetia; Planctomycetales. The record is from RNAcentral.